UUGACCUCGGAUCAGGUAGGAUUACCCGCUGAACUUAAGCAUAUCAAUAAGCGGAGGAAAAGAAACCAACAGGGAUUGCCCCAGUAACGGCGAGUGAAGCGGCAACAGCUCAGAUUUGGAAUCUGGCCUUCGGGUCCGAGUUGUAAUCUGGAGAGGAUGCUUCUGGCGCGGUGCCUUCCGAGUUCCCUGGAACGGGACGCCGGAGAGGGUGAGAGCCCCGUACGGUUGGACACCUAGCCUUUGUGAAGCUCCUUCGACGAGUCGAGUAGUUUGGGAAUGCUGCUCAAAAUGGGAGGUAAAUUUCUUCUAAAGCUAAAUAUUGGCCAGAGACCGAUAGCGCACAAGUAGAGUGAUCGAAAGAUGAAAAGCACUUUGAAAAGAGAG
This 384-nucleotide ribosomal RNA is filed under the name Grosmannia chlamydata. RNAcentral's name for it is "partial 28S ribosomal RNA". It matches the Rfam family "Eukaryotic large subunit ribosomal RNA", at positions 1 to 387 of the family's 3401-position model. The record is from RNAcentral. Lineage: Eukaryota; Fungi; Ascomycota; Sordariomycetes; Ophiostomatales; Ophiostomataceae.